Molecule: ribosomal RNA, 484 nt
Filed under: uncultured Flavobacteriales bacterium
Lineage: Bacteria; Pseudomonadati; Bacteroidota; Flavobacteriia; Flavobacteriales
Description: bacterial SSU rRNA
Rfam family: Bacterial small subunit ribosomal RNA
Source: RNAcentral
GAUGAACGCUAGCGGCAGGCUUAACACAUGCAAGUCGAACGGUAACAGAAAAAGCUUGCUUUUUGCUGACGAGUGGCGAACGGGUGCGUAACGCGUAUGCAACCUACCUUCUUCUAUGGAAUAGCCCAGAGAAAUUUGGAUUAAUACCUUAUGAUAAUAUUUAUUCGCAUGUUUAAAUAUUUAAAACUCCGGUGGAAGAAGAUGGGCAUGCGUAACAUUAGUUUGUUGGUGAGGUAAUGGCUCACCAAGACUACGAUGUUUAGGGGGUCUGAGAGGAUGAUCCCCCACACUGGUACUGAGACACGGACCAGACUCCUACGGGAGGCAGCAGUGAGGAAUAUUGGUCAAUGGACGAAAGUCUGAACCAGCCAUGCCGCGUGAAGGAUGACGGCCCUACGGGUUGUAAACUUCUUUUGUUUAGGAAGAAACCCCUCUACGUGUAGAGGGUUGACGGUACUAUUCGAAUAAGCACCGGCUAACUCCG